CCAUAGCCCAGAUAGCAGCGGAAAUCCUUAUGCGCCGGGUUUCGGCAAAUAAGAUUGUAACGAAUAGCUGGAACUAGC
This 78-nucleotide small RNA is filed under the name Flavobacterium xinjiangense. Its description in RNAcentral is "Flavo-1 RNA". It matches the Rfam family "Flavo-1 RNA". The record is from RNAcentral. Lineage: Bacteria; Pseudomonadati; Bacteroidota; Flavobacteriia; Flavobacteriales; Flavobacteriaceae.